ACAAUAUAUAGGUAUUCUGGACGAACUUUCUUACACAACUUUGUGGCAGAAUUUAUGGAAAAUGAAUAUUAGAGGAGGAGAAUCCAGCACUGUCCCAUUACUGUCUGCCCUGCUGCUGUUUACCAAUGGCUGUCUUAGUAUUGCCUGUAAUGACACACAUUAUGGCACUAGCUGCAAUCAACUGUGUCCAUGUAUUACUACAAACACUGCAGACUGUGAUGAUACAUUUGGUACUUGUACUUGCCUCCCUAAUUGGACCGGAGAAA
Molecule: long non-coding RNA, 266 nt
Organism: Magallana angulata
Lineage: Eukaryota; Metazoa; Mollusca; Bivalvia; Ostreida; Ostreidae
Exons: 3
Source: RefSeq, a predicted model, not a curated record